AGAGUCCAAACGGUAGAGAAUGGCAGGCAGUCUCAGGGUCAGAGUAGGCAGAGGUAAAUUAUCCAGUGUGAUGUGACAAGGUACAGGACAGGAGGCAGGCUCAGGGAAGACAGAAUGCUCAAAACCGGGAAAACAGUAACUAGAAACAGACCUGCGCAAGGGGAAAACUGCUGGUAGGCUCGACGAACAAAACAAACUGGCAACAGACAAACAGAGAACACAGGUAUAAAUAUACGGGGGAAGAUGGGCGACACCUGGAGGGGGUGGAGACAAGCACAAAGACAGUUCUUGCUAUGGAGCUGCUAGCUGCCUGCCAGGGCAUCGAGUUCUUCCACCCCCUGCUUACCACAACACCAUUGGAGAAGGUCUAUGACCUUGUACGCAGUGUAACCAAAGCCCUUCAUCAAGGAUAGGUUCAUGUCACCAGACAUUGAUGCUGUCCAUCUUCUUCUAGACCAGAAGGCAAGUGUGUGGUCAUUAUAGAUGUCACUCUGAGCCUAUAUUUAUUCAAUAAAUAUAAAGACGGUCAUUUAGCAGAACGCUUUUAACCAGGUUUGUGUAUUUGAUGUCAUUUUCCAGGUGUGGAACGUGGCACAGCCAUAUAUUGAGUUACAGUAUAAACUGAGUGGUUCAAGCCCUGAAUGCUAAUAGCCUGAAAGCCGUGGUAUACAUGUAUUUUUACUGCUCUAAUCAUGUUGGUAACCAGUUUAUAAUAGCAAUAAGGCACCUCGGGGGUUUGUGAUAUAUGGACAAUAUACCACGGCUAAGGGCUGUGUCCUAGCACUCCGCGUUGUGUUGUGCAUAAUAACAUCCAUUAGCCGUGGUAUAUUGGCCCUUUACCACACCCCCUCGGGCCUUAUUGCUUAAGUAUAAGAUGGAGUUCCUACUGCCUUCUCAUCACCAUGGAAAUGAGUCCGACUCGAGUGAAAUCAUCAUUAAUAUCAUUCAUAUCAAUAUCAUCUUUGUCUAAAUGUAUUGUCUCUCUAUUUCAGAUAAAUGUUUUCUUCCUUCCGCAACCCCAGCCACUGCAAUAAUAAUAAUUUAUUCUAUAUUCGUUUUGAAUAAGGAGUUGUCGGAUAACUCCUGCAUUGAUUGAGGCUAGACAGUAGAUUUGUAAUCUUAUUCGUCACCGAAACUAUACUAAACAAAAAUCAGUAUCUGGUGUGACCACCAUUUGUCUUAUGUAGCGCGACACAUCUCCUUUGCUUAGAGUGUUGAUUGUGGCCUGUGGAAUGACAUCCCUCUCCUCUUUUCAAUGGCUGUGCGAAGUUGCUGGAUAUUGGUGGGAACUGGAACACGCGGUCGUACACGUCGUUCCAGAUCAUCCCAAACGUGAUCAAUGGGUGACAUGGUCUGGUGAGGCCAUGGAAGAACUGGGACAUUUUCAGCUUCCAGGAAUUGUGUACAGAUCCUUGCGACAUGGGACUGUGCAUUAUCAUGCUGAAACAUGAGGUGCCGGCGGAUGAAUGGCACGACAAUGAGCCUCAGGAUCUUCUCACAGCAGAUACGGAUACUUUGUGCAUUCAAAUUGCCAUCGCUAAAAUGCAAUUGUGUUCUUUGCCCGUAGGUUAUGCCUGCCCAUACCAUAACCCUACUGCUACCAUGGGGCACUCUGUUCACAACGUUAACAUCAGCAAACUGCUCGCCCACACGAUUCCAUACAUGCUUUCUGCCCGGUACAGUUGAAACCGGGAUUAAUUUGUGAAGAGCACACUUCUCCAGCGUGCCAGUGGCCAUCGAAGGUGAGCAUUUGUCCACUGAAGUUGGUUACGACGCCAAACUGCAGUCAGGUCAAGACUCUGGUGAGGACGACGAGCACGCAGAUGAGCUUCCCUAAGAUGGUUUCUAACAGUUUGUGCAGAAAUUCUUAGGUUGUGCAAACCCACAGUUUCAUCAGUUGUCCGGGUGUGUAACAGCAUUCUUCCUCCUCUUCUGAGGAGGUGUAGCAAGGGAUCGGACCAAUACGCAGCGUGGUAAGUGUCCAUAUCGUUUAUUAUAAAACAUAAACUGAACACUAAGAAAUACAAAACAUAAAUGUGAACAUGAACGAAAACCGAAACAGUACCGUGUGGUGACAAACACAGACACGGAAACAAACACCCAACCGCCAACAGUGAAACCCAGGCUACCUAAAUAUGGUUCUCAAUCAGGGACAACGAUAAACAGCUGCCUCUGAUUGAGAACCAUAUCAGGCCAAACACAGAACUAGAAAAAACAUAGAAACACAAACAUGGACUGCCCACCCCAACUCACGCCCGACCAUACUAAAUAAAGACACCCAUUGCAAAAAAAAAGAUUGCAGUUUUGAAACUGCAUUAAAAGUGCAGUAACUGCAGUCGACUGUGGUGUUUUGAACUGCAGUUAUACUGCAAAAUUACGGUUGUAAAAAAGGGUGUUAUUUUGGACACAGUAUUUGCAGCAUAUUGCAGUUAUAGUGCAUUUCAACUGGAGCGAUACUCUGACUGCAAUAUUUUUUCAUAAGGGACCCUCUCUCUCUCACACACAGUACAGUAUUUACAAUCCAUAGAGCAGCUUUAAAGAGGAAUGGAAGCACGUUAGGAAGUGAAGCUAAGCAAAGAUAUGUACUCAAACGUGCAUUUAUUAACAUGAAAACAUCUCUAUACAUUAGUAUUUUGAUCGUCAACAGGGUUUAUCGAGCUGUGGUCAGCACCACUUUGUGUGUCACCUCCAGCAACUAGCAAGCAACUCAACUGCAACUAAAAUGGCAACACAGUUUCUAAGUGUAGCCCUGUUAUUAGAUAGCUAGCUAGCUUCCACCUCAGAUAGUCAAUUAAUACAUUUGGCUGAAAGAUUUGUUUUUGCCAUGCUUUGUGAUCUCCACCUCAGAUAGCUAGACUGAAGUUGACAUAGCUAAUGUUUGCUGAAAAAAUAAAUUUCCUUGUAUUGUGCUGACAGUGCAUGGGGCAGCAGGUAGCCUAGUGGUUAGAGCAUUGUGCCAGUAAUUGAACGAUUGCUGGAUCGAAUCCCUGAGAUGACAAGAUAAACAAAUCUGUUGUUCUGCCCCUGAACAAGGCAGUUAACCCACUGUUCCUUGGUAGGCCGUCAAUGUAAAUCAGAUUUUGCUAAUAACUGACUUGCCUAGUUAAAUACAAGAUAGGUAGCUUGUUAAUGCUAAAUAAUAUAUUUGGUUUCAGUUGUCUUAACAAAACGUUUGUUUGUUUUGAAGAUGACAUCUUAAUCCCUGAAAAUGUUUUCAUCCUGUGUAGGAGGUACAUGCAAAUCCAUGUUCUUUUCUAAGGCUAUUGUUCAUUUGAAGACACAAUCUGUCAUCCUCGAGGAGGAAGUGAGGAAGAGGAAGAGAGGCCCAACUCGGUGGGGAAAUCUGUCUCCCUCCGGCAGGUGGCGUUUUGUGGUUGUUUCGCCCAUCAGCAAGGAGUUUUGUAUGGUCAAUGAGAGAUUGUCGGGGCGGCAGGGUAGCCUAGUGGUUAGAGCGUUGGACUAGUAACUGAAAGGUUGCAAGUUCCAAUCCCCGAGCUGACAAGGUACAAAUCUGUCGUUCUGCCCCUGAACAGGCAGUUAACUGAAAGAUUUGUUCCUAGGCCGUUAUUGAAAAUAAGAAUUUGUUCUUAACUGACUUGCCUAGUAAAAUAAAGGUAAAAUUAAAAAAAUUAAAAUUGUUGAAUUUGGUCAAUAAAAAAUGGAUUGCUUUACGGUUUAUUUGAUGGAAUAGAAGUUCGUAAUGCUUAAGUUGUUAUGAGUGUACUGAAGUAAGUAGGACACGUAACAUCCAGGCAACUUUGAGAAAAACACUUUAUAUCGGAAUUCUCUCUCCCCAUUGAAUAUUGGCGGAUGACAACAACCAUAAUCGAAUACUCAAAAAAUGAUUACAAUAACAAAAGAUUUAAGUGGCUUGGAACAGGUAUGUUAGUAGGUGCCAGGCGCACCAGUUUGGGUCAAGAACUGCAACGCAGCUGGGCUUUUCAUGCUCAACAGUUUCACGUGUGUAUCAAGACUACACCACCCAAAGGACAUCCAGCCAACUUGACACAACUGUGGGAAGCAUUGGAGUCAAAAUGGGCCAGCAUCCCUGUGGAACACUUUCGACACCUUGUAGAGUCCAUUCCCCGACAAAUUGAGACUGUUCUGAGGGCAAAAGGGGGUACAACUUAAUAUUAAAGUGUUGUUUUAUAUACUUUUGUACACAAAAUACUGUAUAUAGUUAUAGAUAGGCUAGACUGCAUUGUCUGCAUAAUAGUGAUUUGUGAAGAUUGUAGCUAUAGCCUACCAGAUUCCUUCAUUUCUUUCUACCAACAGGAAAUAAUGGUUAGUACAGCAUGCCAAACUGACCCCUGGGUGUCAGAGUGUUCCUGUGCUGCGGUGGGGAAGAGGUUCACCGGAGCCAUCACUAAAGAGCUCGAGGCCUAGCUAAAUUGCGCUCACCAUAAUCAGUAUACAACCGAGUCCCGCCACAGAUGGAGUUGACAGAGAGAGCGAGUGAGAUGAGGGAAGACCAGGAUUCGCUGUAUGAAACUGAGAGCUCAGAAUUACAAUCAUCACAGUGCGAGCGAGCCAUGAGAUACUAUCGAAGAGUAUGUGCAAGAUCCGAAAUAUAGCAUGCUGAAGGAGUUGUUCAUGAGCCAGGAUAUCGAGCAGGUGUCAUCAGUUCAUCCCUGAAAAUAAAUUGUUUUUUUUCCAUCACCAUGGAGACCAUCGAGUGUGUUGUGGACCACAGGAGGAAGUUGGAGUCCCAGACCAGAGUGGGAAAUGUUUGCAGGGAAUCUGUUGGUGCCAUCACCGGUCUUCCUAACUGGCGGCUCCCACUCCACAUUUGUAGAAACAUGUUGCCUCCUCAGCCUGGUGUCCAUGUCGCUGCGACAGUUUGCAAACCAACCUUGCAUCUACAUUGUGCCAGAGGUUAAACAUGUGGGCCCAGCAAACAGAGGCGAUUCUGGCUAGAAUUGGUGACAGUCCACUGAUUGUAUCUGGAGAUGCACGGCGUGAUUCGCCAGGCCACUGUGCCUUCUUUGGCACUUACACCGUCCUGGACUCUGCUUCCCACCUGAUCCUGCCCAGGAGACUUUGCACGUGACUGAAUUGAAGAAUGGCUACUGGUUGGACAGAGGGACAGAGGGAUUAGUGAGGUGCCUGCAAACACAUGAUUUAUUUUAUUGAGAUAGAACUCUUUUACAAGAGAGCCCUGUAUAUGUUUACAAAUAAAGCACAGUACACAUACAUAAAACACAACAGCCCAACAAAACGCACUAUAGUAAAACACAUAAUACACAACAUUAAACCUAUUUAAGAAAAGCAAUCGCAAUGCUGAAACAUAAAAGUUCUUUUAAAAUCCUUUUGAGGUAAGCUAUAGCCUCACCUACAUUUUGGAGCUAGCCUCGGGGUUGUAAGUGUGUAUUUGGUGGAUGUACGAAGAUCACUUAGGUCACUUUUUUAGUAAUAAUGCUUUUAUUAUUUUCCUUAACUGGCCCAUGAAUGCAGCAUUGAAACCCUGGCCACUGACAGGUGUCCACACGUGAGGGUGCACUUGAGGGCAUGAGCUUUGGCACAUUGCCAAAGGUGCGAGGAAGAAGCUGGUGGCCACCGGGAAGCCAGAGGUACUGCCAUGGAAGAGGGCGUUAAACACACCACUUGUGGUACUGUGAUGUCACUGUUGGUGGGAGUGUCCAGGUGCUGAAAGAAAAGUAGAUCACCACAGUAACGGGGCGCCGUUACAAAUGAGCACCAGUGAGUCACUGGAGAUACACUCGACUGCUGUGAGCACCCCCACCCUUCACACCUGAAGAAGGAACACAUCCUCAACCCGAGAUUGUUGAAGGAUCUCGAAAGUGACAAAGUGUGUUCAGACAGGUGAACUUGAGAGUGUACAUGCCCUGUACACUAAAUACGUGCCCAGGAGGAACACGUUCGGCCUACAGGGGAUGUCGCAAGACUCCAAGUGGCUGCCUUGCUGUUUCGACUCUCUCUCCCGGACCUGCUGUCUCGACUCUCUCUCCCGGACCUGCUGUCUCGACCUCUGAAUACUCGGCUAUGAAAAGCCAGCUGACAUUUGCUCCUGAGGUAUUGAACUGUUGCACCCUCUAUAACCAUUGUGGUUGUUAUUAUUUUGAUGUAAAAGGGGCUUUGUAAAAUACAUUUGAUUUAUUGAUUGCUUGCUGUGUUGCAUGCUGUGUAUUAACUGUCUGAGUGAUGUGGCAUUUUUAUAGUAUCUGUAACAUAUUUUGGUGUGUAUUUAAUCUGCAACUUCAUUUCUUAAAGGGGCAAUCAGCAGUAGAAACAAUAACAAAGUGUUCUCCAUGCCCCUGAUUCGGUAAAAAGCUCAGGGAUGGGGCUGGAGAAAUUUAACCACUCUAAAAUGCAUAGACAGAGCAAUCAGUGGAAGGACUGGCCACCCAUGAUAUCAAAGUUAUAGUUUUAACCAUGUUUUGGUGCUAUAUUGUGUUUGUUUAAAUGUUUUUAUUUUAUUUUUUACAAACGUUGGAGUAAAACAAGCUUAUAUUUUGGAUUCUGAUGGGGUACGACAGUUGAACUAAGCUCAUGAGACAUUUAUAAGUCAUAUUCUUCAAGAGUCAAUGGGUACAUUUCAUUCAUUUAUAACUACAAAAAUGUUUGUAGCAAUUGCUCUUUGCUCCUUUUAGGUAAGCUACUGUUGUAGUGUCUAUUGAGCUUGUGCACGAGGCAAAGACUUCCAACCACAGCCUUUCACAGCCUUUCCUGUGAAUCCUCUUCUUGUUACAUUGGAACUUGUAAAAACAAUGUAAUAACCCUGUAACUUCCAUUGUAAUCCUCUUUCUCUGAUCUGUUUCCACUACCAUGUACCCAGUUCGCUUUGGAUAAAAGCAUCUGCUAAUGUUA
Oncorhynchus nerka (sockeye salmon) is the source of this 6828-nucleotide long non-coding RNA. RefSeq lists it as uncharacterized. Lineage: Eukaryota; Metazoa; Chordata; Actinopteri; Salmoniformes; Salmonidae. The record is from RefSeq and is a predicted model, not a curated record. The transcript has 5 exons.